UACGAAGGGGGGCUAGCGUUGCUCGGAAUCACUGGGCGUAAAGCGCACGUAGCGUCUCUUUAAGUCGGAGGUGAAAUCCUGGAGCUCAACUCCAGAACUGCCUUCGAUACUGUAGAGCUUGAGUUCGGGAGAGGUGAGUGGAACUGCGAGUGUAGAGGUGAAAUUCGUAGAUAUUCGCAAGAACACCAGUGGCGAAGGCGGCUCACUGGCCCGAUACUGACGCUGAGGUGCGAAAGCGUGGGGAGCAAAACAGG
This 254-nucleotide ribosomal RNA is filed under the name uncultured bacterium. RNAcentral's name for it is "partial 16S ribosomal RNA". It matches the Rfam family "Bacterial small subunit ribosomal RNA", at positions 524 to 776 of the family's 1533-position model. The record is from RNAcentral.